This 505-nucleotide ribosomal RNA is filed under the name uncultured Geobacter sp. Its description in RNAcentral is "bacterial SSU rRNA". It matches the Rfam family "Bacterial small subunit ribosomal RNA", at positions 335 to 831 of the family's 1533-position model. The record is from RNAcentral. Lineage: Bacteria; Pseudomonadati; Thermodesulfobacteriota; Desulfuromonadia; Geobacterales; Geobacteraceae.
ACUCCUACGGGAGGCAGCAGUGGGGAAUUUUGCGCAAUGGGGGAAACCCUGACGCAGCAACGCCGCGUGAGUGAUGAAGGCCUUCGGGUCGUAAAGCUCUGUCAGAGGGAAAGAAAUGUAAUUGUGCUAAUAUCAUGAUUACUUGACGGUACCCUCAAAGGAAGCACCGGCUAACUCCGUGCCAGCAGCCGCGGUAAUACGGAGGGUGCGAGCGUUGUUCGGAAUUAUUGGGCGUAAAGCGCGUGUAGGCGGUUUGUUAAGUCUGAUGUGAAAGCCCCGGGCUCAACCUGGGAAGUGCAUUGGAAACUGGCAGACUUGAAUACGGGAGAGGGUAGUGGAAUUCCUAGUGUAGGAGUGAAAUCCGUAGAUAUUAGGAGGAACACCGGUGGCGAAGGCGGCUACCUGGACCGAUAUUGACGCUGAGACGCGAAAGCGUGGGGAGCAAACAGGAUUAGAUACCCUGGUAGUCCACGCCGUAAACGAUGAGAACUAGGUGUUGCGGGUA